Molecule: long non-coding RNA, 249 nt
Organism: Hibiscus syriacus
Lineage: Eukaryota; Viridiplantae; Streptophyta; Magnoliopsida; Malvales; Malvaceae
Exons: 3
Source: RefSeq, a predicted model, not a curated record
UGACUCGUAUUAGUCCACGCAUAAUUAAUCAUCCCUGAAGAAGAAAGUUAUCGAUUUUUGCAGAAAAAUUAUGUUCCACAGAAGAUGAAAGCAGCUUCAAGUUGUUGACUCGCAGAUGGGGAAACUCUUGUUUCUGCUGGAAAUAGAUUUGAACUGGGGUUCUUUAGCCCAUCAAGCAUCUCCAACGUGAAGAGAUAUGUGAGGAUAUGAUGGCACACUGAAGUUAUCCGAUGACAAAGGGAACCUUUA